UUCUUUCACUGUUGAAGGUAUAACCUGCCCAGUGCUUUGGUAAACGGCUGUGGUAUCCUGACCACACAAAGGUAGCAUAAUUAGUUGUCUCUUAAAAAGAGACUUGUUUGAAAGGUUUGACGAAAUAUUUCUUGUUUUAGUAUUUGUUUGAAUUUAAAUUCCAUAGUAAAGAUUCUUGGUUUGUUAAGAAAGACGAGAAGACCCUAAAACUUUUUACUUUUUAGUUUUGGAUGGGGGUAUCCAGUUUUAAAAUUUCUCACCAUUUUGUUGGUAUUUUUAAAGGUCCUUUAGGGUUAACAGGAUAAUCCACCUUUGGAGUUCUUAUUUGAAGGUGUGUUUAUUACCUCGAUGUUGAAUCAAUUUUUCCAAUCCUAGAAGUAUGGGUUUUGGUUGGUCUGUUCGACCAUUAAAAAAUUACG
This 419-nucleotide ribosomal RNA is filed under the name Acholades asteris. RNAcentral's name for it is "partial 16S ribosomal RNA". It matches the Rfam family "Bacterial large subunit ribosomal RNA", at positions 1835 to 2600 of the family's 2925-position model. The record is from RNAcentral. Lineage: Eukaryota; Metazoa; Platyhelminthes; Rhabdocoela; Acholadidae.